UCUAAUACCGGAUACUGAUCCGUYUGGGCAUCCAGACGGUUCGAAAGCUCCGGCGGUGCAGGAUGAGCCCGCGGCCUAUCAGCUUGUUGGUAAGGUAGUGGCUCACCAAGGCGACGACGGG
Molecule: ribosomal RNA, 121 nt
Filed under: Streptomyces iakyrus
Lineage: Bacteria; Bacillati; Actinomycetota; Actinomycetes; Kitasatosporales; Streptomycetaceae
Description: partial 16S rRNA
Rfam family: Bacterial small subunit ribosomal RNA
Source: RNAcentral